AAAAAGACAAACCCUGGUUUUCGUGUCCAACGUUUGACCGUCCAUCUUAUUUGAAAAAAAUUAAAAAGAUAAGUCACGCAUAAAGUAUUAAUCUUGUUUUAUCAUCUAACAACAAUGAAAAUACUAAUUACAAAAAAAAUUUCAUAUAAGACAGACAGUCAAAUAUUGGCACGGAAACCCAGUGUUUGCCUUUUU
This 195-nucleotide microRNA precursor is filed under the name Oryza sativa Japonica Group (Japanese rice). RNAcentral's name for it is "MIR812 microRNA precursor family". It matches the Rfam family "MIR812 microRNA precursor family". Lineage: Eukaryota; Viridiplantae; Streptophyta; Magnoliopsida; Poales; Poaceae. The record is from Rfam by way of RNAcentral.